RNAcentral lists this ribosomal RNA (453 nucleotides) under uncultured Prevotella sp. Its description in RNAcentral is "partial 16S ribosomal RNA". It matches the Rfam family "Bacterial small subunit ribosomal RNA", at positions 342 to 792 of the family's 1533-position model. Lineage: Bacteria; Pseudomonadati; Bacteroidota; Bacteroidia; Bacteroidales; Prevotellaceae. The record is from RNAcentral.
CGGAAGGCAGCAGUGAGGAAUAUUGGUCAAUGGACGAGAGUCUGAACCAGCCAAGUAGCGUGCAGGAUGACGGCCCUAUGGGUUGUAAACUGCUUUUGUACGGGAAUAAAGUGACCUACGUGUAGGUUUUUGCAUGUACCGUAAGAAUAAGGACCGGCUAAUUCCGUGCCAGCAGCCGCGGUAAUACGGAAGGUUCGGGCGUUAUCCGGAUUUAUUGGGUUUAAAGGGAGCGUAGGCCGUGCUUUAAGCGUGUUGUGUAAUGUAGGCGCCCAACGUCUGCACUGCAGCGCGAACUGGAGCACUUGAGUACGCAGGAAGUAGGCGGAAUUCGUCGUGUAGCGGUGAAAUGCUUAGAUAUGACGAAGAACUCCGAUUGGGAAGCCAGCUUACUGUAGCGCCACUGACGCUGAUGCUCGAAAGCGUGGGUAUCGAACAGGAUUAGAUACCCUGGUA